This 74-nucleotide transfer RNA is filed under the name Candidatus Heimdallarchaeota archaeon B3_Heim. Its description in RNAcentral is "Candidatus Heimdallarchaeota archaeon B3-JM-08 tRNA-Lys". It matches the Rfam family "tRNA". Rfam says of the family: Transfer RNA (tRNA) molecules are approximately 80 nucleotides in length. Their secondary structure includes four short double-helical elements and three loops (D, anti-codon, and T loops). Further hydrogen bonds mediate the characteristic L-shaped molecular structure. tRNAs have two regions of fundamental functional importance: the anti-codon, which is responsible for specific mRNA codon recognition, and the 3' end, to which the tRNAs corresponding amino acid is attached (by aminoacyl-tRNA synthetases). tRNAs cope with the degeneracy of the genetic code in two manners: having more than one tRNA (with a specific anti-codon) for a particular amino acid; and 'wobble' base-pairing, i.e. permitting non-standard base-pairing at the 3rd anti-codon position. Lineage: Archaea; Promethearchaeati; Candidatus Heimdallarchaeota. RNAcentral also lists the same sequence under 1 other name. The record is from RNAcentral.
GGGCGCAUAGCUCAGCAAGGUAGAGCGGCUGGCUCUUAACCAGUUGGUCGGGGGUUCAAGUCCCUCUGCGCCCG